AUGUGUGUGGUUUGUGGUCAUUUGCUUUGGCAGCCAUGGGGAGCAGGGCCUCUGAUCCGGAUGGAUGUGUUCCCCGCCAGCCUCCUGGGAAGGCGCAGAGGUGCUUCUGGGCCGGAUGGGAAGGAGGGGCUGACCACACAGCCUCCCGGGGCCUCUGGCUUCUCCUUCCAGGGACUGGCCUUGAGCGCCGAGCCCUGUGACAAGGCCCUGGCUGUGACUGUCCACUGGCACCUCAGACUGGACUCGGCCUGGGGAUCCAGCUGGGUCUUGGCCGCCAUCCAGCUGCUUGCAACCUCUGGCUCAGGUGCCCUGGCUCCGUUGUCCACCGGCCUAUGGCCCCCCGGGAAGGCGGCCACUGUUGACCAGAAGCCCCGGGCUGGGUCCCGGACCUGCCACCACCAACUGCGUGACCCUGGGCAGAUGUGUCGUCUCCGUCGGGUGGACUGUCGUGUGCCAGGAUGGUGGCGUUUCCUUACUAAGAGGUUUCCCUUGGUGAGGAAAGGGGAAACAUACGGUGGGAGGCUGCUCUGCCUGCAGGGACGCGGGGCAGGCGAGAUGGAGGGCUGGGCUUCCCAGCCCAGGGGGAGUUCAGCUGGUGGGCACCAGGGCCCUCUGUGCCUUGUUCCAUACCACUCUGACGGGGAAACUGAAGCCCAGCCCUCUCUUUCCCACUCCGGGACUUGGCUCCGUCCUGGAACCAGUCACGGAGGCCGAGCGCCCAGUAGCCAGCGACACCCGUCCAGCUGGAGCAAAGGCUGGGGAAGCCGUGGGGCUCCUGCCCUGCCCCCUCGCUUCUCCCUGACUGCCCCCUCCUCUGCCCCGUCCCCGCCCCAAGCUGAAUGCUUGGCUGCAAAGUCCCAUCUGAGCCAUACACCACCUGCCUCCCUCUCUUUUCUCUUUGUCUUCCAGCCCCUCAUUAAUUCCAUUCACCCCAAGCCGCCCUGGGUGGGGGCCUUUCCUCCUGUAGGCCAAGGAAAUCUUCCUCCCCAAGUCUCCUCCCUACAAGGGCCUCCCCUCUCAUGGAUGGAUGUAGGUUUUUUUUUUGGCAAGAAGUUGGGGAGCAAAUUGGGGUGGGCUCCCCGCUGGCAUGCAGUGAGUGUUUUCUCUGCUGGGGGCGGGGAGUUGUGUGGACCCACCCUGUGA
This is a long non-coding RNA of Bos indicus x Bos taurus (hybrid cattle), 1143 nucleotides long. Lineage: Eukaryota; Metazoa; Chordata; Mammalia; Artiodactyla; Bovidae. The record is from Ensembl.